RNAcentral lists this ribosomal RNA (207 nucleotides) under uncultured bacterium. Its description in RNAcentral is "partial 16S ribosomal RNA". It matches the Rfam family "Bacterial small subunit ribosomal RNA", at positions 568 to 774 of the family's 1533-position model. The record is from RNAcentral.
CACGCAGGCGGUCUAUUAAGUCAGAUGUGAAAGUUUGCAGCUUAACUGUAAAAGUGCAUCUGAUACUGGCAGACUUGAGUCUCGGAGAGGUAAGCGGAAUUCCUAGUGUAGCGGUGAAAUGCGUAGAGAUUAGGAAGAACACCGGUGGCGAAGGCGGCUUACUGGACGAGUACUGACGCUCAGGUGCGAAAGCGUGGGGAGCAAACA